AGCGUGGUUGUGGCCCAGCGCUGUGUGGAAGACUAGUGAUUUUGUUGUUCUGAUGUAGUAUGACAACAAGUCACAGCCAGCCUCAUGGCAUGGGCUCCU
Molecule: microRNA precursor, 99 nt
Organism: Octodon degus (degu)
Lineage: Eukaryota; Metazoa; Chordata; Mammalia; Rodentia; Octodontidae
Gene: MIR7-3
Product: microRNA 7-3
Source: Ensembl